AUUAGAUACCCCACUAUGCUCAGCCGUAAACUUAGACAUCCAACUACAAUAGAUGUCCGCCAGGGUACUACGAGCAUUAGCUUAAAACCCAAAGGACCUGACGGUGUCUCAGAUCCCCCUAGAGGAGCCUGUUCUAGAACCGAUAACCCCCGUUCAACCUCACCACUUCUAGCCAACCCAGCCUAUAUACCGCCGUCGUCAGCUUACCCUGUGAAGGUAAUAAAAGUAAGCAAAAUGGGUACAACCCAAAACGUCAGGUCGAGGUGUAGCGCAUGGAGUGGGAAGAAAUGGGCUACAUUUUCUAACAUAGAAUAUUACGAACAUGCACCAUGAAACAGUGCUUGAAGGAGGAUUUAGUAGUAAAAGGGAAAUAGAGUGUCCCUUUGAACCCGGCUCUGAGACGCGUACACACCGCCCGUCACUCUCCCCUGUCAAAAUGCACCAAAAAUAUCUAAUAUAAUAGCACUGACAAGGGGAGGCAAGUCGUAACACGGUAAGUGUACCGGAAGGUGCACUUGGAUCAAAC
RNAcentral lists this ribosomal RNA (526 nucleotides) under Carassius auratus (goldfish). Its description in RNAcentral is "partial small subunit ribosomal RNA". It matches the Rfam family "Bacterial small subunit ribosomal RNA", at positions 777 to 1533 of the family's 1533-position model. The record is from RNAcentral. Lineage: Eukaryota; Metazoa; Chordata; Actinopteri; Cypriniformes; Cyprinidae.